UCCUACGGGGGGCAGCAGUGGGGAAUAUUGGACAAUGGGGGGAACCCUGAUCCAGCGACGCCGCGUGAGUGAAGAAGUAUUUCGGUAUGUAAAGCUCUAUCAGCAGGGAAGAAAGAAAUGCCGGUACCUGACUAAGAAGCCCCGGCUAACUACGUGCCAGCAGCCGCGGUAAUACGUAGGGGGCAAGCGUUAUCCGGAUUUACUGGGUGUAAAGGGAGCGUAGACGGCGAUGCAAGUCUGGAGUGAAAGGCGGGGGCUCAACCCCCGGACUGCUCUGGAAACUGUACGGCUGGAGUGCAGGAGAG
This 305-nucleotide ribosomal RNA is filed under the name uncultured bacterium. RNAcentral describes it as "partial 16S ribosomal RNA". It matches the Rfam family "Bacterial small subunit ribosomal RNA", at positions 337 to 656 of the family's 1533-position model. The record is from RNAcentral.